RNAcentral lists this ribosomal RNA (253 nucleotides) under uncultured bacterium. RNAcentral describes it as "partial 16S ribosomal RNA". It matches the Rfam family "Bacterial small subunit ribosomal RNA", at positions 524 to 776 of the family's 1533-position model. The record is from RNAcentral.
UACAGAGGGGGCAAGCGUUGUUCGGAAUUACUGGGCGUAAAGGGCGCGUAGGCGGCCCACUAAGUCGAACGUGAAAUCCCCGGGCUCAACCCGGGAACUGCGUCCGAUACUGGUGGGCUUGAAUCCGGGAGAGGGAUGCGGAAUUCCAGGUGUAGCGGUGAAAUGCGUAGAUAUCUGGAGGAAUACCGGUGGCGAAGGCGGCAUCCUGGACCGAGAUUGACGCUGAUGAGCGAAAGCUAGGGGAGCAAACGGG